This 1269-nucleotide long non-coding RNA is filed under the name Mytilus galloprovincialis (Mediterranean mussel). The record is from RNAcentral. Lineage: Eukaryota; Metazoa; Mollusca; Bivalvia; Mytilida; Mytilidae.
UACAUACAAUAAUAACAUUCGGUUACCCCUGGUCCCCCAUAUAAACUUACAUACAAUAAUAACAUUCGGUUACCCCUGGUCCCCCAUAUAAACUUACAUACAGCAAUAACAUUGGGUAACCCCUGGUCCCCCAUAUAAACUUACAAUCAGUAAUACCAUUGGGUAAUCCCUGGUCCCCCAUAUAAACUUACAUACAGCAAUAACAUUGGGUAACCCCUGGUCCCCCAUAUAAACUAACAUACAGUAAUACCAUUGGGUUACCCCCUGGUCCCCUAUAUCAACAUACAUACAGUAAUAACAUUCGGUUACCCCUGGUCCCCAUAUAAACUUACAUACAAUAAUAACAUUGUAAUACCUGGUAAGAAUUUAAUUUUUUUAGUAAAUUGACUGUCGGUACCUCCUCAGAACAAGCCGUUAUAUAAAGUAAAAACAACUAUACAUUGUUCGAACAAUUUUUGUUUAGAAAACAAUUCUGUCGGUACGUCAUCAGAACCAGCUUUUAUGUGCAGUAAUAACAGCAAUACAUGUUCAUUUUUUUUUAAUUAAUCCAAUAUCGUUACCUCCUCGGAACCAUCCUUUAUUUACGGUAAAAACAGCAAUACCUGAUCCGGACUUAAUUUUGACCUCCUUAGCACAAAAAAAAAAUAAAAAAAAUAAAAUUAUUAUAACUUAAUUUUCUAAGUAAACGUGUAGGUACCGCUGCUAAAUUAUCUAAUUAAAUUUUAUAUCGGUACCUCAUCCGGACCAACCUUAAUUUACAAAAAAAACAAAACAUUUAUACCUUACCAAAACCAAAUUUUGUAAGUAAACUUUAUGCCGGUACCUCCUCAGUAUAAACCGUUAUUCAGAGUAAAAAUAACCAUACCUUGUCCGAAACAAUAUUUUCUCACUAAACUUUUUAUGUCGGUAUCUCCUCAGAACCAAACUUUAUUUGCAGUAAAAACAGAAAUACCUGGUCAGAAUUUAAUUUCCUAAUUAAACUGAAUGCUGGUGUUCUAUAGCCAUUCUUCCCCAAUGCCAAUUUUUCCGGGCGAAAAACUGGACCGAUCCAAUAACAUUCGGUUACCCCUGGUCCCCCAUAUAAACUUACAUACAGCAAUAACAUUGGGUUACCCCUAGUUCCCCAUAUAAACUUACAUACAGCAAUAACAUUGGGUAACCCCUGGUCCCCCAUAUAAACUUACAUACAGCAAUAACAUUGGGUAACCCCUGGUCCCCCAUAUAAACUUACAUACAGUAAUACCAUUGGGUUACCCCCUGGUCCCCUAU